RNAcentral lists this unclassified non-coding RNA (342 nucleotides) under soil metagenome. RNAcentral describes it as "partial contains 5.8S ribosomal RNA, internal transcribed spacer 2, and large subunit ribosomal RNA". The stretch from base 1 to 120 matches the Rfam family "5.8S ribosomal RNA", at positions 35 to 154 of the family's 154-position model. The record is from RNAcentral.
GAUGAAGAACGUAGCGAAAUGCGAUAAGUAAUGUGAAUUGCAGAAUUCAGUGAAUCAUCGAAUCUUUGAACGCACAUUGCGCCCGCCAGCAUUCUGGCGGGCAUGCCUGUUCGAGCGUCAUUUCAACCCUCGACUUCCCUUUGGGGAAAUCGGCGUUGGGGACCGGCUGUAUACCGCCGGCCCCGAAAUGAAGUGGCGGCCCGUCCGCGGCGACCUCUGCGUAGUAAUCCAACUCGCACCGGAACCCCGACGUGGCCACGCCGUAAAACCCCCGACUUCUGAACGUUGACCUCGGAUCAGGUAGGAAUACCCGCUGAACUUAAGCAUAUCAAUAAGCGGGGA